Molecule: ribosomal RNA, 433 nt
Filed under: uncultured bacterium
Lineage: Bacteria
Description: partial 16S ribosomal RNA
Rfam family: Bacterial small subunit ribosomal RNA
Source: RNAcentral
AACGAACGCUGGCGGCAUGCCUAACACAUGCAAGUCGAACGAGACCUUCGGGUCUAGUGGCGCACGGGUGCGUAACGAGUGGGAAGCUGCCCUUAGGUUCGGAAUAACUCCCCGAAAGGGGUGCUAAUACCGGAUAAUGUCUUCGGACCAAAGAUUUAUCGCCUUUGGAUGGGCCCGGGUUGGAUUAGCUAGUUGGUAGGGUAAAAGCCUACCAAGGCGACGAUCCAUAGCUGGUCUGAGAGGAUGAUCAGCCACACUGGGACUGAGACACGGCCCAGACUCCUACGGGAGGCAGCAGUGGGGAAUAUUGGACAAUGGGCGAAAGCCUGAUCCAGCAAUGCCGCGUGAGUGAUGAAGGCCUUAGGGUUGUAAAGCUCUUUUACCCGGGAUGAUAAUGACAGUACCGGGAGAAUAAGCUCCGGCUAACUCCGUG